Molecule: ribosomal RNA, 253 nt
Filed under: uncultured bacterium
Lineage: Bacteria
Description: partial 16S ribosomal RNA
Rfam family: Bacterial small subunit ribosomal RNA
Source: RNAcentral
UACGGAGGGUGCAAGCGUUAUCCGGAUUCACUGGGUUUAAAGGGAGCGUAGGUGGGCUGGUAAGUCAGUGGUGAAAUCUCCGAGCUUAACCUGGAAACUGCCAUUGAUACUAUCAGUCUUGAAUACCGUGGAGGUCAGCGGAAUAUGUCAUGUAGCGGUGAAAUGCUUAGAUAUGACAUAGAACACCAAUUGCGAAGGCAGCUGGCUACACGAAUAUUGACACUGAUGCACGAAAGCGUGGGGAUCAAACAGG